GACGAACGCUGGCGGCGUGCCUAAUACAUGCAAGUUGAGCGCUGAAGGUUGGUACUUGUACCAACUGGAUGAGCAGCGAACGGGUGAGUAACGCGUGGGGAAUCUGCCUUUGAGCGGGGGACAACAUUUGGAAACGAAUGCUAAUACCGCAUAAAAACUUUAAACACAAGUUUUAAGUUUGAAAGAUGCAAUUGCAUCACUCAAAGAUGAUCCCGCGUUGUAUUAGCUAGUUGGUGAGGUAAAGGCUCACCAAGGCGAUGAUACAUAGCCGACCUGAGAGGGUGGUCGGCCAAAUUGGGACUGAGACACGGCCCAAACUCCUACGGGAGGCAGCAGUAGGGAAUCUUUGGCAAUAGACGAAAGUCUGACCGAGCAACGCCGCGUGAGUGAAGAAGGUUUUCGGAUCGUAAAACUCUGUUGGUAGAGAAGAACGUUGGUGAGAGUGGAAAGCUCAUCAAGUGACGGUAACUACCCAGAAAGGGACGGCUAACUACGUG
Molecule: ribosomal RNA, 497 nt
Filed under: uncultured bacterium
Lineage: Bacteria
Description: partial 16S ribosomal RNA
Rfam family: Bacterial small subunit ribosomal RNA
Source: RNAcentral